CCUACGGGGGCAGCAGUGAGGAAUAUUGGUCAAUGGCCGGGAGGCUGAACCAGCCAAGUCGCGUGAGGGAAGACGGCUCUACGGGUUGUAACCCUCUUUUGUCGGGGAGCAAGGUGCCGGUCGGGACCUGCUGAGAGAGUACCUGAAGCAAAAGCAUCGGCCAACUCGGUGCCAGCAGCCGCGGUAAUACGGGGGAUGCGAGCGUUAUCCGGAUUUAUUGGGUUUAACGGGUGCGCAGGGGGAAGCACAAGUCAGCGGUAAAAUCGCGGGGUUCAACCCCGCUCCGCCGUUGAAACUGUGUCCCUUGAGUGCGCGAAGGGUAGGCGGAAUGCGUGGUGUAGCGGUGAAAUGCGUAGAUAUCACGCAGAACACCGAUCGCGAAGGCAGCCUACCGGCGCGCAACUGACGCUCAUGCACGAAAGCGUGGGUAUCGAACAGGAUUAGAUACCCCUGUAGUC
RNAcentral lists this ribosomal RNA (458 nucleotides) under uncultured bacterium. RNAcentral's name for it is "partial 16S ribosomal RNA". It matches the Rfam family "Bacterial small subunit ribosomal RNA", at positions 338 to 795 of the family's 1533-position model. The record is from RNAcentral.